UGGGGAAUAUUGCACAAUGGGCGAAAGCCUGAUGCAGCAACGCCGCGUGCGGGAUGACGGCCUUCGGGUUGUAAACCGCUUUCAGCAGGGACGAAGGUUUUCUGACGGUACCUGCAGAAGAAGCACCGGCUAACUACGUGCCAGCAGCCGCGGUGAUACGUAGGGUGCGAGCGUUGUCCGGAAUUAUUGGGCGUAAAGAGCUUGUAGGCGGUUCCGUUGCGUCGGAAGUGAAAACUCAGGGCUUAACCCUGAGCCUGCUUUCGAUACGGGCGGACUUGAGGGAUGUAGGGGAGAACGGAAUUCCUGGUGGAGCGGUGGAAUGCGCAGAUAUCAGGAGGAACACCAGUGGCGAAGGCGGUUCUCUGGACAUUUCCUGACGCUGAGAAGCGAAAGCGUGGGGNGCAAACAGGCUUAGAUACCCUGGUAGUCCACG
RNAcentral lists this ribosomal RNA (433 nucleotides) under uncultured bacterium. Its description in RNAcentral is "partial 16S ribosomal RNA". It matches the Rfam family "Bacterial small subunit ribosomal RNA", at positions 355 to 799 of the family's 1533-position model. The record is from RNAcentral.